CAACGGCCAGGGGAUGGAGCGCGCUCCCCGCGCCCCGGCACCCCUCUCCCACGGUCGCGGCAGGACAAAGAUCCGCAAGCACCCCUGCGAGCAGUUCUGCUCCUUUGACAAGGGACUCCUGCCCCAACCCACCUGUGCUCAAUGACCUUCGGGACAAGCAUUCCUCCCAUCCACUUUUCAGAUGAGGGGACGUGUGGGGCGACUUACAGCGAACAAGUGGCAGCCCAGCAUUCUAGAUUCCACCGCCUGCCGGUUCCAGUGACUAGUGUGCAUCCCCUUUUUAAGGGUUAACAGAGCCCCACACAGAAGUAGCUGGCCCUAAGACGCAAAGCAAGUCACCUGUGAGCCCGGAAGCAAGAGAAGCCUCCAGACCCCCAAUAAAACCAAACACAGGAGGA
Long non-coding RNA from Phyllostomus discolor (pale spear-nosed bat), 398 nucleotides. RefSeq lists it as uncharacterized. NCBI's taxonomy places the organism in Eukaryota, Metazoa, Chordata, Mammalia, Chiroptera, Phyllostomidae. The record is from RefSeq and is a predicted model, not a curated record. The transcript is spliced from 2 exons.